Molecule: ribosomal RNA, 253 nt
Filed under: uncultured bacterium
Lineage: Bacteria
Description: partial 16S ribosomal RNA
Rfam family: Bacterial small subunit ribosomal RNA
Source: RNAcentral
UACGGAGGUCCCAAGCGUUGUUCGGAUUCACUGGGCGUAAAGGGUGCGUAGGUGGUAAGGUAAGUCGGAUGUGAAAGCUCCGAGCUCAACUCGGAAAUGGCAUUGGAAACUACCUUGCUCGAGGGUUUGAGGGGGGACUGGAAUACUUGGUGUAGCAGUGAAAUGCGUAGAUAUCAAGUAGAACACCAGUGGCGAAGGCGAGUCCCUGGAAAACUCCUGACACUGAGGCACGAAAGCUAGGGGAGCAAACAGG